UACUACGUCUCUGACGCAGAGCGGGCUGAGAGACCAGGCCUGCUCCAGGCCUGGUUGAUGGUACCACUCCUGAGCUCAUGGAGAGCAUGCUGUCCUUGCUAGUGUAGCCGGAAGGGCUACUCGCUUUUCCUUUCUCUCUCGCCCCCACUUGCGCUACUGCUUUCUCUCUCUCUCCUGUGCUUGCUCCCGCUGCGCGCUUACGUCAACUAGGAGCCCACCUGUAUAUUGAUUACAGGGCGGCGUUUACCUGUAUAAAGAGAAGCCGGGUUCUUUCGUUGGAUUAUUUCCUCCCGAGCUUCUGGUGCGAUACAGCGGUAGACGCUGGCUUGUUGGUUAAAUUACUGAGGCGAUCAGGUCGUGUGAUUGCUACAGCGCGGCUGUUUUUCUUUCCUUUGCUCCAGCCGUGGUGAGGAGACGCGUGAGUGCAUCCGCCGUGCAGUACAGCGCCUCCAAGUUCUGGGGGUUUGAUUGCUGCCGUGCCCUCUCGGGGACCAACCGCCUGCUUUGGUUACGUAGAGAGUCGGGCGCCUGCUCUGCUGCUGUCUUGUCUUGCCUUGUUUUAUCUUGUGUUCCGAUCUGUUGGUUGUCCAGUUUUGUUCCUGCUGCUUGUCUCGCCUCGCCCCUGGGGGCUUAGGGUCUCACGCUAAGCCCCUUUUGGACUAUCGUUUCACUCCAGCUUUCGCGGCGGGUCGGGGCGAUCCUCAGCUGCAUAUUGGGCUGGUGUUACAAAACUGGUACUGCCUCUCCCUUUUCUCCCAGUUGUGGAGAGCUGCGCGAGACUGAGUGGGGCUACGGACAAUCGGAACCAGCACCAGCUGUGGGCUGGCUCUUAGAGUACAAGUACUUCUAAUCUGUGCUCUGUGGUGUGUAUGUGGGUGUGUUUUAUUGCAGAUCUCCGUUUUUCUUGUAAUUUCUUUUUUUAGUAUAUAGAGAGCCUGUCUUAUGUCCCAUGUUUUUAUCCUUUUAAUGUGUAUGUCUUGUGUUUUUAUUUCAGCGAACUGAGGAUCUACCAGCGGCCGUGGGACCUUAGGUGGCGGGUCGUUUUCCACACUUCUUUUGUUGUACAGCACCAGGAAUGGAUGACGACGAAUCAUUCUUCACUCAUCUCUUCCACAAAUAGUUGCCGGCUCCAGUGCGAGCUGGCCUUGUCAACUCCUUGCUGCUGGUUGCGAAGGAUUACCGCUCAUUCACAGAAGAAGCGGAUCGCCUGGCUACUAGGAGCUUCGGCUUCCAGCUGAUAUGUCCGACAGCAUCUCCCGCGCCUCCACUGAUUCUCCCGGUGGCUAGUGAUGUGCGGAUCGAUCCUGAAAUAUCGAUUCCUCUGAUACCAAUCAUUUAUGUUCUAGAAUCGAUUCUCACAUUAAAAUAUCGAUAUUUUAGUAAUUUAGGGUAAAUAUGUAGUUUAUCAUUAACAGGAACACAGUGGAAAGAAACUAUAACAUUCGGAUUGUCUACAUUUGAAGGAACUACUUCCUCUUCCGCCUUUCAUAGUCAUGUGCGAAAUACGGCUGUAUAAAUGUCUUGCAGCCCCUUGGCGU
Molecule: long non-coding RNA, 1538 nt
Organism: Oreochromis niloticus (Nile tilapia)
Lineage: Eukaryota; Metazoa; Chordata; Actinopteri; Cichliformes; Cichlidae
Exons: 4
Source: RefSeq, a predicted model, not a curated record